This 1043-nucleotide ribosomal RNA is filed under the name uncultured archaeon. Its description in RNAcentral is "bacterial SSU rRNA". It matches the Rfam family "Archaeal small subunit ribosomal RNA", at positions 5 to 1055 of the family's 1478-position model. The record is from RNAcentral.
CGGUUGAUCCUGCCGGAGGUCACUGCUAUCGGGGUUCGAUUAAGCCAUGCGAGUCGAGAGGGUUCAGACCCUCGGCGGACUGCUCAGUAACACGUGGAUAAUCUGCCCUAUGGUGGAGGAUAACCCCGGGAAACUGGGGAUAAUACUCCAUAAGUCAGGAGUACUGGAAUGUCUCCUAACUGAAAGUUUCGGCGCCAUAGGAUGAAUCUGCGGCCGAUUAGGUAGUUGUUGGGGUAACGGCCCAACAAGCCCGUAAUCGGUACGGGUUGUGGGAGCAAGAGCCCGGAGAUGGAAUCUGAGACACGAUUCCAGGCCCUACGGGGCGCAGCAGGCGCGAAAACUUUACAAUGCAGGAAACUGUGAUAAGGGAACCCCGAGUGCCCGUACACGCGGGCUGUCCCGGUGUUUAAAACACAUCGGAAGAAAGGGCCGGGCAAGACCGGUGCCAGCCGCCGCGGUAAUACCGGCGGCUCGAGUGGUGACCACUUUUAUUGGGCUUAAAGCGUUCGUAGCUUGAUUUUUAAGUCUCUUGGGAAAUCUCACGGCUUAACUGUGAGGCGUCUAAGAGAUACUGGGAAUCUAGGGACCGGGAGAGGUAAGAGGUACUUCAGGGGUAGAAGUGAAAUUCUGUAAUCCUUGAGGGACCACCGAUGGCGAAGGCAUCUUACCAGAACGGCUUCGACAGUGAGGAACGAAAGCUGGGGGAGCGAACGGGAUUAGAUACCCCGGUAGUCCCAGCCGUAAACUAUGCGCGUUAGGUGUGCCUGUAACUACGAGUUACCGGGGUGCCGAAGUGAAAACGUGAAACGUGCCGCCUGGGAAGUACGGUCGCAAGGCUGAAACUUAAAGGAAUUGGCGGGGGAGCACCACAACGGGUGGAGCCUGCGGUUUAAUUGGACUCAACGCCGGGCAGCUCACCGGAUAGGACAGCGGAAUGAUAGCCGGGCUGAAGACCUUGCUUGACCAGCUGAGAGGAGGUGCAUGGCCGUCGUCAGUUCGUACUGUGAAGCAUCCUGUUUAGUCAGGCAACGAGCGAGACCCUU